CCUACGGGGGGCUGCAGUGGGGAAUCUUGGACAAUGGGCGCAAGCCUGAUCCAGCCAUGCCGCGUGAGUGAAGAAGGCCUUAGGGUUGUAAAACUCUUUCGCCGGUGAAGAUAAUGACGGUAACCGGAGAAGAAGCCCCGGCUAACUUCGUGCCAGCAGCCGCGGUAAUACGAAGGGGGCUAGCGUUGUUCGGAAUUACUGGGCGUAAAGCGCACGUAGGCGGGUUUGUAAGUAGGGGGUGAAAUCCCAGGGCUCAACCCUGGAACUGCCUUCUAAACUGCAAGCCUGGAGGUCAGGAGAGGCGAGUGGAAUACCGAGUGUAGAGGUGAAAUUCGUAGAUAUUCGGUGGAACACCAGUGGCGAAGGCGACUCGCUGGACUGAUACUGACGCUGAGGUGCGAAAGCGUGGGGAGCAAACAGGCUUAGAUACCCGGGUAGUC
Molecule: ribosomal RNA, 440 nt
Filed under: uncultured Hirschia sp.
Lineage: Bacteria; Pseudomonadati; Pseudomonadota; Alphaproteobacteria; Hyphomonadales; Hyphomonadaceae
Description: bacterial SSU rRNA
Rfam family: Bacterial small subunit ribosomal RNA
Source: RNAcentral